GGUGGCUCAGUGGUAGAGUGCUUGCUUUGUAAGCAUGAGGCAGCUCUGGGUUCGAUUCCUCAGCACCA
Molecule: transfer RNA, 68 nt
Filed under: Dipodomys ordii (Ord's kangaroo rat)
Lineage: Eukaryota; Metazoa; Chordata; Mammalia; Rodentia; Heteromyidae
Rfam family: tRNA
About the family: Transfer RNA (tRNA) molecules are approximately 80 nucleotides in length. Their secondary structure includes four short double-helical elements and three loops (D, anti-codon, and T loops).
Source: Rfam by way of RNAcentral